This is a non-coding RNA of Aegilops tauschii subsp. strangulata, 2558 nucleotides long. The record is from RefSeq and is a predicted model, not a curated record. NCBI's taxonomy places the organism in Eukaryota, Viridiplantae, Streptophyta, Magnoliopsida, Poales, Poaceae.
CUCAUGGUUGUCGUUCUCCCGUAUCCCUAACCUCACGAACCCCACUAUCCCACUCAUCCCCUGCCAUGGAUGGCGCCGCCGCCCUGCUCCCGACUGUUGUCGUCGCUCCGCUUCCCAUCUGCCGCCGCUGUCCACCGCUAUCCACUACAUCCAGCCUCUUUCGCAUCCCACGGCCUCCACCACCACCAUGAACCAUCUCUCUUCUUGGUCCUCUCUCUUGGACCUUCACAUGGCAGCGGAUGCUUCUGGUGGCGUGUGGCGACGCGACCGGUGGAGGGAACGGGGUUGAGGCCGACUGUGUCCCGUUCAUCGAUCUGUGCCCACCACAUGUUCCUCCUCUCCAUCGAAUGUCACGUCCCCAGUUACUGCGACACACGGCGCUCUCCUCUCUUGAGACGAUGCUUAUAGGCGACAAUAAUGGUGUCCUGUUGUGCCCCUCCACACUUGGGACCACCGAGGCGCAAAAGUAUCCAGAGAAGAUCGGCCGUGUUCUAAGUGGCUACCCAGCAAGAGACGUGGUCACAUGGAUGAUUAUCAUCUUUUGGCAAAAGGAUGUUAAUUGACUGAAGAAAUAGCACUGCACCUAUGACUAUGAUCGUAGAUGUCCAGUCCUGAUUUUUGAGGACCAGUUUAGGAUGUGAUCAUUUGUGCGGAUUCAAAGCUGCUUGACAUGAUUUUUACUAAUCUGAACGUCGGGCAUAAUCAAUGUUAAGUAGGCUUCAUUGAAUUCUUAAUAAGGAAAUUAUACAAUAUGAUGUGUCUGCCAUAGUAUUAGUGUUGUUUGAAGAAUUUCUUCUUCUUACCAAUUAGGCAGAUGCUUUAACUGUCGAUGCAGACCCUGUGCAGGAUGUUCAUCAGCAACGCCAGUCAGGGAUUCAGGAUGUUCAUUGAAUUUCUUCUUCUCAUUUCCUAUGGAGCUCAUGGGAUCAGUCAUAUGAACCUCAUGUAUUUGAUAGUUUUCUCCAUCACUUUUAUGCCUUCAACUAUAGAUAAUUAAGGCUACCCCAAAAGUUCAUUGAGAUUUGUUUUUUAUAGGACUUGGAUUAAUAAUCUCCAACAAUAUUGUUAUUGCCUCUUAUAUAUAAUUUCAGUUCUAGUUACAUUUCAGAUUUUCUUUAUGCUGUACUACUAAACUGUGUGUUCUAAACCAAAGAUGACAUCUGCGUCUUUUUAUGCAUGCAUGUUUCAAGACAAUAUAUCUAAUAUGUAGUAUAUAGAAAGGUACCUAAAAUAUUAGCUUAUAUUGCCAACUCUUGAAAAUAUACGAUCCUUUUACAUUUUUUGCCGUGAACCUGGGGAGCUUGGAACGGAGUAUGGUGUCAAUAAUCAGUAUAUACCAGGAUAAUAUUUCAACAAUGACGUUGCUUGCCUCAAUACUUCCUUCACCACCAAUCUAGCCGCAAACUCUGUUUCUCCUUGAAUGUAGGUCCACAAAGGUUGUGCUUUCUGUGCAUCUAAAAGUAAGGUUACUAUCAUAAUUACAGUAAAGUUUCUUCUCUAUUCAAAUUGAAUUUGAUAAGCAACAAAGUCCUCUGUGUCAUGCUUCAGUUAUAUGGCUCGAGCUGGCCAAACCUGAAAUGUUCGGUGAAGAUCCAAAGUACAUCUAGAUUACUUUGUGUUGCCCACAAUCCUAUUACUUGAUUUUUUUUUGCUAACUAUCUCUAUGGAUAAAUCUGCAAGAUGAUGCAAAAAAGUUGCAUGCAGAUAGGCUGUGUACAAACAUGCAUGGUGUAAGUUUAUACCAAUUUUACAAUAUUGAGAUUUGUUCAGAUGCUUCUAAGCAGUGCUCUAGCAGAACGGUGCUACAUUUCCUUACUGUUGUUGCCAAAUAUUUGUAUUGUGGCAUAUUAGGACUGGACAGCAUCAUUCUAACGACCUCACCCUAGGAGUCCACUUCUACACGGUCAUGGCAUCCGCCUCCACCAAUUAUCUAGAGUUAAGUUCUAGAGACGAUCGGGGAGGUCAACUUUGAGAUGCAGCACUCUAUGUGUUCACGCAAUCGGAACGCCCGAAAUAUCACGCCAAUAUGAGGGACGCCCGAAAUAUCAAGCCAAUAUGUGAUUUAUGCCUUUUCUGUUAGGGGAAGCCAUGGUGUCCACAAGGCUCAAGCAAGUCGGAUUUCUGAUAUGGAUUUUAAAUGAUCAAGACAACCUAAGUGGCUCUUUGCUUGGCCACCAUUGCCAAUAUUUAUGGAGCAGUUUUCAAAUAUGCAAAUGUCCAACCCAUUAAAACAUCCUCUUAGGUUCAUACGCAUAAGCAACUGCUGGUAUUUUGUGAGAGUGCAUUUUAAAACGAUUUGCAAAACUUCUGACGAGGAUAAUCAUAAAAUGCACAAAGCGUUUUAAAUUAUUUUUCCAAUUUUGUAAAUACUGAAUCAAAAUAUCGAAUAAAUAUUUUUUAGGUUCAUUAAUAAAGAUAGAGUGGUAGUGACAACUAUUAGAUGUUCCAUAUCUAUAUUAGCUUUCCCUAAAUAUAAAAUACUAAAAAGGUCUGAGUGGUGAGUGCUACUUCAUUGGUAUUUUAAUGUGUCUUCACAUUAUAAAAUACAACUGAUGGUC